AGUGAACGCUGGCGGCGUGCCUAACACAUGCAAGUCGAACGAGAACGGGUUUAAGUUUACUUAAACUGUCAGCUAAGUGGCGCACGGGUGAGUAAUAUAUAGUUAACCUGCCUCAAAGAAGGGAAUAAUUGUUGGAAACGACUUGUAAUGCCCUAUAUGCCUUUAUCACAUAAGUGAGCAAGGGAAAUAUUUAUAGCUUUGAGAUGGGACUGUACGGUAUCAGAUUGUUGGUGAGGUAAUGGCUCACCAAGUCUAUGACGCCUAACUGGUUUGAGAGGAUGAUCAGUCACACUGGAACUGAGACACGGUCCAG
Molecule: ribosomal RNA, 313 nt
Filed under: uncultured Arcobacter sp.
Lineage: Bacteria; Pseudomonadati; Campylobacterota; Epsilonproteobacteria; Campylobacterales; Arcobacteraceae
Description: bacterial SSU rRNA
Rfam family: Bacterial small subunit ribosomal RNA
Source: RNAcentral